Molecule: ribosomal RNA, 430 nt
Filed under: uncultured bacterium
Lineage: Bacteria
Description: bacterial SSU rRNA
Rfam family: Bacterial small subunit ribosomal RNA
Source: RNAcentral
AGAUGAUAAUGACGGUAUCUGGUAAAGAAACCCCGGCUAACUCCGUGCCAGCAGCCGCGGUAAUACGGAGGGGGUUAGCGUUGUUCGGAAUUACUGGGCGUAAAGCGUACGUAGGCGGAUUGUAAAGUAUGGGGUGAAAUCCCAGGGCUCAACCCUGGAACUGCCCUGGAAACUGUCAAUCUAGAGUUCGAGAGAGGUGAGUGGAAUUCCGAGUGUAGAGGUGAAAUUCGUAGAUAUUUGGAGGAACACCAGUGGCGAAGGCGGCUCACUGGCUCGAUACUGACGCUGAGGUACGAAAGUGUGGGGAGCAAACAGGAUUAGAUACCCUGGUAGUCCACACCGUAAACGAUGAAUGCCAGACGUCGGGGGGCUUGCCCUUCGGUGUCACACCUAACGGAUUAAGCAUUCCGCCUGGGGAGUACGGUCGCAA